AUCAAUUGAAGCUUCUUCACAAUCAGCUCCUGAAGUCUCUCAAAAAGCCCCACCAUCGAAGAACCCCGUGAGUACACCAUCUUGGAAUGUUGAAGCAAUAGGUUGUAUGCAGUACUCUCCAAAAUAUAUCAUUGAUUUCUUUCCUAAUUGGUAUUACUCUAUUUGGAUGGGCAACCAAGCAAGUUAUAAAUGUUAUUCAGGUUGGUUCAUGAUACAUUUAUGCUUGAUAUUUAGAUGAUGAUUGAUGAGGUGUUGUAUAAUGUAUCUAUCUAGUUUUUUUUACCAACCCCUAACCCAUAAUGAAAUGAGGAAGAAGAAGAGAAGCAAAGCAUGUAAGAGAAGAAAAGAAAAUCCAAACUCCAAAGAAAACCGAGCGGAACUUAAUAGUCUAUAUUUUUCAGUUUGGAAUAUUCAUCUUGACAGAGUAAUAGGAAAUUUGUAACCUUUGAGUUCCUGUAAUCUGAACUUUCUUUUAGCAUGACUCAGGAACUUCAUAUUGUGACCUGAUAAUUGGCUUCAAAGAUUGUUUUUUACAUUCUAGCUGUAGGCUUUCUUGGAUUGAAAGUUGUGUAUGGGUUAUUUUGGAUUGUAAGUUGUCUAUGAGUUUGUUUCUUUAAUUGAAGUGUUUUGUUAUUUUGGAUUA
Long non-coding RNA from Lotus japonicus, 643 nucleotides. RefSeq lists it as uncharacterized. Lineage: Eukaryota; Viridiplantae; Streptophyta; Magnoliopsida; Fabales; Fabaceae. The transcript is spliced from 2 exons. The record is from RefSeq and is a predicted model, not a curated record.